GACUAUUGUUGAUACAAUGCUUUAGCAAGAGCCAUGAAAUGCGAUAAGAAAGGAGGCAGAGCGGAGUAAACCUGGCCACAUAAAUGAGUGCACGUGUGUCCUUGUUGAGAAUGGCGGGAUUUGACCCAACUGAGAUUGCGCCCAGGCAGAGGGAGAAAAAGCUGAAGCCAAGAAACUUUCCCAAAAGGCACAGCAAGCAAGUUGGAGAAGGAAGAGUGAGACCCAGGAAGUUUGAAUCCAGGACCUGCGUUCCUACCUCUUGGCUAUCCCAGGUUGGACAGGAAGGAGCAGGGAGAUGGGAGAGAUUCCUAAGAUAGAUGAGAGUUAGAAAAAAGACAAGGGGAGCUUUGGACCAGUCUUUGACCUCAGGAUUGCAGUUCCUGAUCGGUAGUUUGACAGGAUAGACCUAGUCACCAAUCCCCCCUUUCCUGGUGCCCAACAGCAGUCUCAUCAUUCUAGGCAUCUACGGGAGAAGAGAGUAAAGAAAAUAUGCCAAGAAAUCCAAGGUGCAGUGUUCAAUGGCCCUGCCCUUCUCAGCACCUCCCUCUGCUCUUCAUCUCCACCCUCCUACUUCCCAUGGUUCUCUCUCCUCCAUUGGGAAAAAAGCCCAUAAUCCCCUUGGGAAAUCCACCCAUCCUUCAGGCUCACGCUGCCUCGGCAUUUGCACAUCGCAGGGAGUGCAGGUUGCUCUGACUCUAAUUAGCAGGUGCUGAGCAGUUUCCACAUUUUUGAGUAAAUAUGUCAAAACACAAAAUCCAUUCAUUCUUUCCUCUCCUCUACCCUUCCCCUCCUCUUGUAAAACACACUUUUCUCUCUUGGCUGCUCUGGAGAAGUGUUUUUCUUCAGCAAGAGUGAAAGUGGCAUUAACACAGGGUGUCUGGCAGUUUUACAAUCCUUUUCAAAUACUCAUCUGCCCUCCUGGUCAUUUAUCCAUCUGUUCAUUCGUUCAUUCAUGUGCCUUCCAUGAGGCAGGCACUGACUUAGGGCUUUGGGUUUUACUGGGGCCUCUCAAGUAUAAGGCUGGCAUCAGCAAGGAUCCCAUAAAGACCCUCCAGGAGAUCCCAUUAUCACCCAGGACCCAGCCAGGGCAAUCAGGUACCGUGGAGCCUCAGGGGACUUAUGCACUUAAUUUCCACCAUCUCUCUGGGCCUCCUGCUGGAGUGACUGGAAAACAGCUCUUUAAAUCAAGUAGCAGCUGGCUCCCUCCCUGCUGGGCUCUCCUCCCCAGCACCCACUCCCUUUCCCUCAAGUCCGCUGGGUUGGAGAAGCUCAAUUUGCAGCCGUUAUCUGCCUCUGUCUUUCCCAAACCUCCCCUGCAGCCUUUCUUCCCAAUUCCUCUCCCCAAACAAAAGAAACAGGAAGUCGAGAGGGUGGGGCUGCUGUUCAGACCCAUCCAGUCCCUGGAGCUUUUCCACAAAGCCUGCUGCCAGAUUCCUUUUACAACCUGGGCGCUUGGAAGCAUGCUUAGCUUUCCUGGCCAGAAUGAGGGACCUCAGAGUGGGCUGGGAGGGAGUGGGGGUGGAAUUCCCGUCUGAGUGUUGUUUGUUGUUUAAUUUAGGGUGACACAAGAAUAUAAAUCCCAUGAUUUUGAAGGGCUGGUGGUUCGGUUUCACCAGAAACUCACACAGGUCUCCCUGGCUCUCUUCUUGCAGCCUUCUGAGACUACCUUUAGAGAAGGGAGAGGAAGAGGCCUGGGGGGCUCCAGGUUUGAGUCAACACACCCCAUCCAAAUCCAGACAAGCCAGCAAUUUCGCCUAAUUCCACCAACACCUGCUCUUCCUUUGGCUUUGUCAGUAGCCCCCGAAGGCUGCCACCUGCAACAGUCUUAGCCUACCGUUGGUCCAGCCUUCCAGGGCUGACUGAACAUCUCCCAUGCCCCUAGGACCUCAUGGACAAAAAGGGAAAGGAAGUGGUCCCUACCCUUGAGGAGGAGCUCCUGGCUGUAGGAGACAGAGCUGUCUAUGAGCCAAGUAUUUCAACAGAGAAAAUACAGUGUUGGAGUAGGGACGAGGGAAGUAUACUAUAUAAAACAGUAUGUGGGGCCACAGAAUAGGGGCUGGCAGGGCCUUGGAUGCUGCACUAUCCCAUUCUACUCAGUGAUAUGAAAACUGAGGCCCAGAGGAGUGAGGCGCCUUGUCCAAGGUCACAGAGCCGGUCAGGGGCAGCACAAGACUCACACUGAAGCCUCCUGGCUUGGAAAGUUAAAUGUCCAGGUUGUGAACUAUGCCCAGUUGGUCAGUCAGUUCCUCUUCCUCCCCCUCCCCUCACUCUCCUCGGAUCCUCCAGCGUUUACCCUCCCUGAGUGGCCGGGCCCCAGGAAAGCAGUUGCUGGAACUAUUCGGAGGAGGCAGUGAGCAAUGCCAGCAGAAUCAUUUCCAUUAAUUUAUACUAUUUUGCAGCUCCUCCAAUCUGCCUGCUCCCUGCUGGUCCUUCCAUGUCCUGACUGAGAUGGCUGUUCUGUUUGUUUCCAUUGUCUGAGAAAUAAAAUGGUUUUGAUUACA
Macaca mulatta (Rhesus monkey) is the source of this 2501-nucleotide non-coding RNA. Lineage: Eukaryota; Metazoa; Chordata; Mammalia; Primates; Cercopithecidae. The record is from RefSeq and is a predicted model, not a curated record.